GGUCCCGUAGCUCAACGGAUAGAGCGUUUGACUACGAAUCAAAAGGUUGGAGGUUCGAAUCCUCUCGGGACUAC
Molecule: transfer RNA, 74 nt
Filed under: Streptomyces phage Faust
Lineage: Duplodnaviria; Heunggongvirae; Uroviricota; Caudoviricetes; Stanwilliamsviridae
Description: tRNA-Arg
Rfam family: tRNA
About the family: Transfer RNA (tRNA) molecules are approximately 80 nucleotides in length.
Source: RNAcentral